AGUGAACGCUGGCGGUAGGCCUAACACAUGCAAGUCGAACGGCAGCACAGUAAGAGCUUGCUCUUACGGGUGGCGAGUGGCGGACGGGUGAGGAAUACAUCGGAAUCUACUUUUUCGUGGGGGAUAACGUAGGGAAACUUACGCUAAUACCGCAUACGACCUACGGGUGAAAGCAGGGGAUCUUCGGACCUUGCGCGAUUGAAUGAGCCGAUGUCGGAUUAGCUAGUUGGCGGGGUAAAGGCCCACCAAGGCGACGAUCCGUAGCUGGUCUGAGAGGAUGAUCACCCCCACGGUAACUGAGACACGCCCCGGCCUCCCCCGGGGGGCGCCAGUGGGGUUUUUUGGCCAGGGGGCGCGCGCCUACCCCCCCCAUCCCGGGUGGGGAAAGAGGCCCUCCGGUUUCUAAGCCCCUUUUUUGGGGAAAAAAAAGCAGCAGUUUAACCCCCCGCUUUUCGGCGGCCCCCCAAAAAAAAACCCCCGCCUACCUUCCUC
Molecule: ribosomal RNA, 492 nt
Filed under: uncultured bacterium
Lineage: Bacteria
Description: partial 16S ribosomal RNA
Rfam family: Bacterial small subunit ribosomal RNA
Source: RNAcentral